Micropterus salmoides (largemouth bass) is the source of this 294-nucleotide long non-coding RNA. RefSeq lists it as uncharacterized. The transcript is spliced from 3 exons. The record is from RefSeq and is a predicted model, not a curated record. Lineage: Eukaryota; Metazoa; Chordata; Actinopteri; Centrarchiformes; Centrarchidae.
UGUUUCUCAGGAGCAGGGAAAUUAGCAGUUGCUACAACAAUCACUGUUGUUCUCCUGGUUAUCAUUUCCCUCUGUCUCUUCCUGUGGAUCAGGAAAAAGAGGGCUUCCAAGGAAUCGUCUGAGCCUGAAGAGAGACCAGACAACAGGGAACAGUUUCUACCUGAACAGCCAGAGGAGCAGGAUAACCUUCAGUAUGCCAGCGUUCACUUCACCAACAACCAGGCAGAUCCUCUCUACUCCAACAUCAGACCAGCUCGCUCCCUCAGACACACGGAGCAGCAAGAUUUCAUGGAG